GGUAGCGAAAUUCCUUGUCGGGUAAGUUCCGACCCGCACGAAUGGCGUAACGAUGGCCACACUGUCUCCUCCUGAGACUCAGCGAAGUUGAAAUGUUUGUGAAGAUGCAAUCUCCCCGCUGCUAGACGGAAAGACCCCGUGAACCUUUACUGUAGCUUUGCAUUGGACUUUGAACAGACUUGUGUAGGAUAGGUGGGAGGCUUUGAAGUGGGAACGCCAGUUCUCAUGGAGCCGUCCUUGAAAUACCACCCUGGUGUGUUUGAGGUUCUAACCUGGGUCCGUCAUCCGGAUCGGGGACCGUGCAUGGUAGGCAGUUUGACUGGGGCGGUCUCCUCCCAAAGUGUAACGGAGGAGCUCGAAGGUCGCCUAGGUACGGUCGGACAUCGUACUGAUAGUGUAAUGGCAUAAGGCGGCUUAACUGCGAGACCGACAAGUCGAGCAGGUGCGAAAGCAGGACAUAGUGAUCCGGUGUUCUGUAUGGAAGGGCCAUCGCUCAACGGAU
RNAcentral lists this ribosomal RNA (502 nucleotides) under uncultured bacterium. Its description in RNAcentral is "bacterial LSU rRNA". It matches the Rfam family "Bacterial large subunit ribosomal RNA", at positions 1955 to 2457 of the family's 2925-position model. The record is from RNAcentral.